This 492-nucleotide ribosomal RNA is filed under the name uncultured bacterium. RNAcentral's name for it is "partial 16S ribosomal RNA". It matches the Rfam family "Bacterial small subunit ribosomal RNA", at positions 29 to 507 of the family's 1533-position model. The record is from RNAcentral.
AGUGAACGCUGGCGGUAGGCCUAACACAUGCAAGUCGAACGGCAGCACAGUAAGAGCUUGCUCUUACGGGUGGCGAGUGGCGGACGGGUGAGGAAUACAUCGGAAUCUACUUUUUCGUGGGGGAUAACGUAGGGAAACUUACGCUAAUACCGCAUACGACCUACGGGUGAAAGCAGGGGAUCUUCGGACCUUGCGCGAAUGAAUGAGCCGAUGUCGGAUUAGCUAGUUGGCGGGGUAAAUGCCCACCAAGGCGACGAUCCGUAGCUGGUCAGAGAGGAUGGUCAGCCACACUGGAACUGAGACACGGUCCAUACUCCUACGGGAGGCAGCAGUGGGGAAUAUUAGACAAUGGGCGCAAGCCUGAUCCAGCCAUACCGCGUGGGUGAAGAAGGCCUUCGGGUUGUAAAGCCCUUUUGUUGGGAAAGAAAAGCAGCAGGUUAAUACCCCGCUGUUCUGACGGUACCCAAAGAAUAAGCACCGGCUAACUUCGUG